CCCUGAAUGGUGUAGGGUCAUGUGAAAGCCACAUAUUGUGUCUAUCUGUCUACAAAUUAAACCAUUCAAUUUGGACAGAGAAUUGGAGAUAAUCUGAGUUCACAUAAUGCUCUUAAAGAUGUUAAUUCUCCCAAGUUUGGCAAUCCUUCAAUAUCAUCUGGGAAAGAGCAAGGUGAAGAACGCAAUGGGAUGGCUGGGCCAAGCCAGGAUCCCACUUGGCUAAAGUCCCUUUAUUCAGAGAAGGGCCCUCAUUUGGAAAGGACAGCUAGCAUGCUUCCUAGUUUCAGUUAUGACCGGAACGACAAACGCACUUUGGAGUCAAAUUUACAAGCAAGUGUUCAAAAGCAACCUGUAUUUGAUGAAUUCGAGAGUAUGGUGAAAAUCAAACAAGCAGAGGCUAAAUUGAAUUCGAGAGUAUGUUCCAAGAACGUGCUGAAGAUGCAAGAAGAGAGGCCGAUGGGCUGAGACGCAUUGCCAUUGCAAAGAAUGAAAACAUUGAAGAGGAGUAUAAGAGUCAAAUUGCAAAGUUGCAGUUGUCUAAGGGUGAAAAUAUGCGUAAACAAAAAUUUGAAGAACUCAAUGCCCUAGAGAGAGCACAUCGAGAAUAUUUCAAUAUGAAGAUGAGGAUGGAAGCAGAAAUUAAGGAUCUUUUGUUCAAAAUGGAAGCUACAAAACGAAACCUUGCCAUGUGAUCAGUAGGUUUUUCUAUUGAAUUGUCACUUCUCAGAUAUUUGUAUCUGCAAGUGUUGAAAUUUCUAUGCGGUAACCACCACAUUUCAGUAUUAGUUGUUGUAUCUUCUGUUCUAAGUUUCUGUUAUUAAUAUUUUUUUUUAGGUGUAUGUGCGAGCUACUAACCAGAUUACCGGAAUCUGUACAGAGACUGCAAGUUCUCUUUUAUGUUAAAAAAAGGUUCCAAUUUAGGGUAGCGAUAUAAUGGAGAUAAAUUAUAAAUGAAGCUUUUCUUUUAUUUCCA
Molecule: long non-coding RNA, 973 nt
Organism: Carya illinoinensis
Lineage: Eukaryota; Viridiplantae; Streptophyta; Magnoliopsida; Fagales; Juglandaceae
Exons: 2
Source: RefSeq, a predicted model, not a curated record